Neodiprion fabricii is the source of this 976-nucleotide long non-coding RNA. RefSeq lists it as uncharacterized. The record is from RefSeq and is a predicted model, not a curated record. Lineage: Eukaryota; Metazoa; Arthropoda; Insecta; Hymenoptera; Diprionidae. The transcript is spliced from 3 exons.
AUCUAACCUUAGAAUACGUGUCAAUCCAAGAAGUCGUUAUUCUCGCAGUAUCCAUUGAGUUACAGUAGUUAGAAAAUCGGUAUUAUUUCGCCGAGUGACGGGUACGCCGUUAAUAACCUGCGAAAAUAUGGCUCCACGAGAGUUAAACCUGGGUUAUCUAUGCUGCAAUUUAACUUUUCGCAGAUACCACAAUAUGUUUGUAGGCUACUCCAGCUUUUAACAACGGGUUAAUCCAAAAUUCAGUGAUACUUUUUUUGUUACGUGAAGUCGAGCACACGCUAACUGUGGGUUAGGUUAACCUGGAGUAACUCUCACUCAUGAAUGACACCGGGCAUAGUAGUACAAAAUACCUGGUGAUGAUCAAAAUCGGUGAUUGUUGAUAAAAAAAAUGGCCUAUUUGAUGUGGAUACUAACAUACAUCGAUAUGGAAGGCCGGAGGCUGGUAAAGGUGAAAUAGCACGCCUCUUCGCGUCUAUCAUGGUCGGCUAGAGGCGUGAUUGUUGCAGUAGGAGUCGUGAAAGUAAGAUUGCAUUCGUCUACAAUGCAGGUUAGCAAUUCACCGUUGCGCGUUUCACAGUCCGUGCAAUUACGGCAUACGGAAGAACAUAAGGGCUAUAGGUGACAUAGACGCAUCAGCAUCGCAUCACGAAACCGGUCAUAAGGCAAAAAUAUAUUCAAAAACCUAUAAAGUAACGGAAUUUUCAUAUCUUGUAGACUCUUUCUCUAUUAACAAAAAUGACGCUGCGCCCAUAUUCAUUGUUACUUUAUUGAAUAAAAUUUCUAAUAUGAAAAGAAUAUUAAAUUUUCGCCAUAUUUGUUACAGGUACACAUGACAUAAAUCACCCCGAGCAUGUCUGUGUGGGUAUUGUGGUUUGGAAAUAUCUACAAAGUACAUAGAACUUUAGUGACGAUAUUCAAUGAAAACUACUUAUUCGUAUUAUAACAUAAUUAGAAUAAGGGUUUCUCAAAUUUUCAU